UGCUGGUGAACAGGUAUGGACAUCAAUAUUAUUUGCUAUGUAUACUUACAUCCGGUGCUAACAGGCAAACCUUAAAGUCGGUAUGAUGGAUGACAGACAACCUUUGCUUCCUACUUAAGCUCGAGCGUAAUAUAGCAGUGUUAGUAGUAUAUGGAGCAGCAUACUGUACAAAACCGCGGUGAUGGGUAAGGAGACGGUAGCGUUUCCAUUCAAGCCAAUUUUUUCUGAGGAAGGUUUGAGUGGCUGUCUCAGAGCGAAUGCACACGAGCUAAAUAAGAUGGAGGG
RNAcentral lists this long non-coding RNA (285 nucleotides) under Selaginella moellendorffii. Its description in RNAcentral is "long non-coding RNA (SMOE_LNC000090)". Lineage: Eukaryota; Viridiplantae; Streptophyta; Lycopodiopsida; Selaginellales; Selaginellaceae. The record is from RNAcentral.